AUGCUGGAGGUAUCAGAAGUGCGAAUGCUGACAUAAGUAACGAUAAAGCGGGUGAAAAGCCCGCUCGCCGGAAGACCAAGGGUUCCUGUCCAACGUUAAUCGGGGCAGGGUGAGUCGACCCCUAAGGCGAGGCCGAAAGGCGUAGUCGAUGGGAAACAGGUUAAUAUUCCUGUACUUGGUGUUACUGCGAAGGGGGGACGGAGAAGGCUAUGUUGGCCGGGCGACGGUUGUCCCGGUUUAAGCGUGUAGGCUGGUUUUCCAGGCAAAUCCGGAAAAUCAAGGCUGAGGCGUGAUGACGAGGCACUACGGUGCUGAAGCAACAAAUGCCCUGCUUCCAGGAAAAGCCUCUAAGCAUCAGGUAACAUCAAAUCGUACCCCAAACCGACACAGGUGGUCAGGUAGAGAAUACCAAGGCGCUUGAGAGAACUCGGGUGAAGGAACUAGGCAAAAUGGUGCCGUAACUUCGGGAGAAGGCACGCUGAUAUGUAGGUGAAGCGACUUGCUCGUGGAGCUGAAAUCAGUCGAAGAUACCAGCUGGCUGCAACUGUUUAUUAAAAACACAGCACUGUGCAAACACGAAAGUGGACGUAUACGGUGUGACGCCUGCCCGGUGCCGGAAGGUUAAUUGAUGGGGUCAGCGCAAGCGAAGCUCUUGAUCGAAGCCCCGGUAAACGGCGGCCGUAACUAUAACGGUCCUAAGGUAGCGAAAUUCCUUGUCGGGUAAGUUCCGACCUGCACGAAUGGCGUAAUGAUGGCCAGGCUGUCUCCACCCGAGACUCAGUGAAAUUGAACUCGCUGUGAAGAUGCAGUGUACCCGCGGCAAGACGGAAAGACCCCGUGAACCUUUACUAUAGCUUGACACUGAACAUUGAGCCUUGAUGUGUAGGAUAGGUGGGAGGCUUUGAAGUGUGGACGCCAGUCUGCAUGGAGCCGACCUUGAAAUACCACCCUUUAAUGUUUGAUGUUCUAACGUGGACCCGUAAUCCGGGUUGCGGACAGUGUCUGGUGGGUAGUUUGACUGGGGCGGUCUCCUCCUAAAGAGUAACGGAGGAGCACGAAGGUUGGCUAAUCCUGGUCGGACAUCAGGAGGUUAGUGCAAUGGCAUAAGCCAGCUUGACUGCGAGCGUGACGGCGCGAGCAGGUGCGAAAGCAGGUCAUAGUGAUCCGGUGGUUCUGAAUGGAAGGGCCAUCGCUCAACGGAUAAAAGGUACUCCGGGGAUAACAGGCUGAUACCGCCCAAGAGUUCAUAUCGACGGCGGUGUUUGGCACCUCGAUGUCGGCUCAUCACAUCCUGGGGCUGAAGUAGGUCCCAAGGGUAUGGCUGUUCGCCAUUUAAAGUGGUACGCGAGCUGGGUUUAGAACGUCGUGAGACAGUUCGGUCCCUAUCUGCCGUGGGCGCUGGAGAACUGAGGGGGGCUGCUCCUAGUACGAGAGGACCGGAGUGGACGCAUCACUGGUGUUCGGGUUGUCAUGCCAAUGGCACUGCCCGGUAGCUAAAUGCGGAAGAGAUAAGUGCUGAAAGCAUCUAAGCACGAAACUUGCCCCGAGAUGAGUUCUCCCUGACUCCUUGAGAGUCCUGAAGGAACGUUGAAGACGACGACGUUGAUAGGCCGGGUGUGUAAGCGCAGCGAUGCGUUGAGCUAACCGGUACUAAUGAACCGUGAGGCUUAACCUU
This 1675-nucleotide ribosomal RNA is filed under the name Escherichia coli. Its description in RNAcentral is "partial 23S ribosomal RNA". It matches the Rfam family "Bacterial large subunit ribosomal RNA", at positions 1270 to 2925 of the family's 2925-position model. The record is from RNAcentral. RNAcentral also lists the same sequence under 1 other name. Lineage: Bacteria; Pseudomonadati; Pseudomonadota; Gammaproteobacteria; Enterobacterales; Enterobacteriaceae.